UCCAAAGUAGCGGCUGAGGCGAUAGUAAUGCCUUGCCUGUCAACCAAUACUAUUGGCAAAAUGCCAGGGGCCAUUCCGACUCAGCUGUGGCUCUGAGCAAGAAUGUGCUGGGAGUGCAAUAUCUGGAGAUAGCGAGAAAAUUCCUGAGAAAGCCAGGACUUAUGCCUGCCCUGCCUGGAAAAUGUAGCAUUUUGACAUAAGGAAGAACUGCCUGGGACAGCCCAGGCUUGAUUCCUCUCUCCUUGGAAGCAGGACAUCACUCAAAACCUUACCAGACUGAGUCACCUUUGUACCCAGUGCACAGUGAGCCUGCUUCACAAAAUUGGCACAGCUUUCUCUGCUUGUACUGAUUGGGAAGGCAAUGGCCUCAGCCUCAAUACGCAGAAUAACCCCAGGUGAUAUCAUGAAGCUUCGCCAGUAUCAACAUCAUUGACCACAAGGACCACAUGUUCAUCCAGAAGAACGUGGCCAAGGUUGACAAGGUCAACAGAGCUUUAAGUGAUGGAAAAUCCAUCACAUAGCAACUGAAGAAUGAACAUCAAGUGGCUUUGUGGUGGAAUGGCAACCUGUAUGACAAGGAGAUGAAGCAGCAGAAGACUGGGAGCAUAAUGCCCUUAUUAAGUUCUCCUAAGCUGUGACCGCCAAGAUAACCUGAUGAAGUGCUGGAUUUGCCAUCCAAAACCUCAUACUUUCACCACCAGAGUAUUCUUCUCAUCCUGCCAGUGCUAAACAACAUCGGCAUUCCUAAUGCCACAGUGCACCUUGACUAAACCCUGGCUUACUGAGUGGAAAUCUGACACCCAGUGUGCAGGACAGAACUGAAAGCGCCCUGUUAUAAUUUAAUCAUCUCUGUGGCAGAGUGUCACAACCACAACAACCUGUUUUAGGCAAUUCCUCCUUAUUUCAGGAUAUUGCUUUCCCAAUAUAUUCUACUAUUAUUCUUGAGAACUACAAGCAAGAUAGGGAGGAAGACUGGGCAGGUCCAAAGCUACCCGGGGAACUGUCCUUCAGACCCCUCCCCAACAAGAUAUCCUCCUUAGCAAAGCUAGUCCAUUUCAUGUGCCCAUAGACCACCCAGUUCUGGAGGGAGAGGUUUGUCUUCUCAAAUCCUUGGAACACUUUGACUGACACAGUCUCAAGGCAGCUCCAUUAAGUCAUAGUCAGGAUACAUUUUACAGACCCAGGAGAGCCACCUAGUACUACUACCACCAGCAGGACAGCCAGACCUGCCCAAAGAAGUGGUCUAGCCCAGGUUCUAGUGAUUCAGUAAAAAGGCUGUAAUGGUUAAUUGAGAUUGUCAACUUAGUUGGAUUGAGAGAUGCCUAGGAAAUGCCUAGGAUUAAAAGACUUCUAGGUAUGUUUAUGAGGGUAUUUCCAGAGGCAACUGGCAUAUAGGACAUCAAACUGAGGGAUGAAAUCCACCCUGAGUGUGGUGGGCAGCACAACCAUUAGUCUGGGGUCCUGGGUUAAACAAAAGAUGGAAGAAAGAGGAAGCUACAGGGUCUGCAAAUGCGAUUCUUCUGGAGCAGGUGAAUAUAUUGCUGCCAGGGGAUAUCAAACUCACUCUUCAGUGUGAACUCUCACCAGCCAUUCUCCAGGGAACUUCCAGGCCUUCUGUCUUGGUCUUGGACUGCAUCAGGUCAAAGGAUCUUCGGCCCCCUGUAACAGGAGUUCACUUGAUGCUUUGACUAUAUCCCUUGUGGCUUUGAAACUAACAUGCUUUUUUCUUUUUUCCAACCUUCUUCUCCCUGACCUUCUCCUCCCUGACCUUCUCCUCCCUGAUCUUUUUCCUAACCUCUUUCCUGAUCUUCUCCUCCCUGAUUUUCCUUUCCCUAACCUUCUCCUUCCUGAUCCUCUCCUCUCUGAUCUUCUUUUCCUUAAACCUCCCUGAUCUUCUCCUUCCUGAUCUCUCCUCCCUAAUUUCAUUUUAUCUGAAUCACCCCUUUUAAAACCCCCUGUUUCUGCUGAUGGGCAGAAUCACACAGCCUUUGGGAUGGGAGCCCCCUGUGUUUCUUCUUUGCUAGCUGUGUUUCUCCUUUUUCUCAAAACCUUGUCCUCAUUAUUGGAUUGGCAUUGGAGACAAGGACUAAGCUUUUGGCAACACCCCCAUCUGCACCAGCAGGCCUUCUUUCAGAAAACUCUAACUUGUGUUUCAACAAUGCUUGAGGUGUUGCUAGGCAUGGUGGUGCAUGCCUGUAAUCCAAGCAACUUUGAAAGCAAGGCAGGAGGCUGGUAAAUUCAAGGCCAGCCUGGGCAACUUAGCAAGACCCUCAGCAACUUAGCAAGACUGUCUCAAAAUAAAAAAUGAGAAGGAUUGGGAUGUAGCUCAGUAAUAAAGUUCCCCUGGAUUCAAUUCCAAGUUCUGAAAUAAAAAUAAAAUACAAUAAAACACAAUUCUUGAGGUGUUUAUAUAGGUACAGCAGGUGUUGACAAUCCCACACACACCCUCCCAGAAAGUCUACAGCAAUUCUGUUGUUUGGAGAAACAGUGUUGAGGGAUUUCUGAUGGACUGCCAACACAGCAGCAAUGAGGCAGUGGACACUGGUUCCUAUGUAUGGUAACAAAGAUCUCCUAAAGAACAUAAGUCCAGUCAGUUACACCUCCUGGCAAGUCCCAGGAAAGCCUUAUGUACAGCCACAGACUGCUGGCCCAGCAACAUUUCUUUUUUCCUUCUUUUUUUUAAAUUUUUUUUAGUGUUGAUGAACCUUUAUUUUAUUCAUUAAUUUAUAUGUGGUGCUGAGCCACAACCCCAGCUCCCCCAGCAACAUUUCUUAUAAGGCCCCUGCUUAGCAUCUGGAUGGCCAUCUUAAGUGACAAUUGCCAUUUUAAGGAAAAAGUUUCACUUUCCCACCCAAGGGCGUUUCUGAAAAAGGCUCACCACUCCCUCAUACCAAUCCAACCCUUAUCUGCCCACAUUAGGACUCGUCUAGCUAUGAUUCCUGAGCCUCCCCAAUAAAAGUCCCAGAAUUCAAGCCUGUUUUGCCUCUCUCUUCUAUAGAGAGAUGGCCUUUAUUUGUCAGCUCUGACAAACUCUUGUGUGUAUCCCUGCCUGGUCUCUGUCUUUCAUUUCUUGCUUACCUGUCUCUCCUUCCUCACUUUCCCCUCAUUUCUCACUCUCAGGCUUCUAUCUAGGGACAUUUCCAGUAAGCCUGCUUAAUGUUUUGCAUUUCAAAAGUUAUCAUUAAGAAAAUGAAAACAGGGGCUAGGGUUGUGGCUCAGCAGUAGAGGGCUUGCCUUGCUUGGGUGAGGCACUAGGUUCAAUCAUCAGCACCACAUAAAAAUAAGUAAAAUAAAACAAAGAUAUUGUGUCCAUCCAUAACUAAAAAAAAAAAAAAAAAGAAAGAAAAUGAAAAGAGCUGGGUAUGAUGGCCCCUGUCUGUAAUCCCAGCUACUCAGGAGGCUGAGGCAGGAGGAUUCAGAGAGUUGAGAGUUUGGAGCCAGUCUAGAAAAUUUAGCAAGGGAUAGGCAUGUAACUCAGAGGUAGAGCAUUUACCAAGCCUGCAUAAGGCCAUAGGUCCAUAGAUCCAAUCCCCAGCACAACUCAGCACCCUCUCCACCAGAGGAAAAAAAAAGAAGAAAAAAAACCACAAAAAAAGUCAGAUGCAAAAGAAUGCAUAUUUCAUGACUCAGUUUCCACAAAAUGUGCAGAAAAAGCAAAUGUCCAGAGAAAGAAAGUAGAACAAAGUUUAGCUGGGCAGGGAGUGGGAGAGGGUGUUGACUGAAAAUGGGCACCAGGAAAA
Long non-coding RNA from Marmota monax (woodchuck), 3740 nucleotides. RefSeq lists it as uncharacterized. Lineage: Eukaryota; Metazoa; Chordata; Mammalia; Rodentia; Sciuridae. The transcript is spliced from 4 exons. The record is from RefSeq and is a predicted model, not a curated record.